CCCUUCCAGGAUUUUGGAGGUCCCUGCAGUAACAUCCAUGCUAAUUGGUAAGUAAGACAAAGCCUCCCCUAACAAAUCAGCAAUGUAAUUAUAAAGCCAGUCGCUAGAUCAAGCCAGUUACCCCAGCUCAGGGAGACUGUAACCCGACACGGCAGAUGAUGGCGCCUCCCACUGCAGCCGCGGCUCCCACCAGCCUGCCUGGAAUCAGGGACACCAGCACAAGCCUCCUGGCCUUCCUGCAGUGGCCUGAAGCCCACAGAAAAGCUGAGUUCGGCCAGGAGGCCAACCUCAAGUAAACAUUUCAAUCCCAUUUCUAAUGAGGCCAAGGACACCCAUCACCUUCCAAGGACAAUGGAAGUGCUUAGAAUUCCUUUAUUUUACCUAAGGAGUGUGGCUAAAAGCAGGGCACACUUAAUUCAAAUGAAAAGUUGAGUGGAAUUACGCAGUGUCUGAAUUUAGUUUAAUAAAAACAUAUUCAACAUGAUCUGAUGCCUGAAAUUGGCUUUAAAGUACUCAAAAACAACUGGCCACGAAGAUGAAACAAGGUCAACAAAAAGUGGAUAACUGUUGAAGAAGGUGACAAGUAUGAGGUGGUGUAUUGGACUCUUACUUUUGAGUAUGUUUGGAAUUUUCCAUAAUAAAAAAUUAAAAAGCACAACACAUCAAUACAUACUUUUAAAAUUCUACAAAUAAAAAAAUAAAAUAAGUACAAAAAAUUAUUUACACCCUCAGUGAGAACUAUUAUAUUAACUUGCGAGGUGUUUUUGCACAGAAGAAAGCUGCUAACGCUCUAUGUAAACAAGCCAGCCCAGUACAAGCAGGAACGCCGGUAAACUCUGAAAGGCAGCGUCACAUCCAGCCACACGGGGGCGCAGCAGAGCAACAAGGCACCUCUGAAGUCGGCUUCUCCACUGCAAUUUCUGUCUACAGAGCUCUCAAAGUCUACACAUUUCAAGAACCAGUCCCAAAUUCAGGUAUCCACAGGGCCAUGUUAAGCAAGCUGGGAGCCUUGCCAAGCCCAACUAAAUUAUAUUAUGCUAUGGUUCAAGCUCUGGAAACACUGUACAGGAAAGGUUGUUGCCUGAAUAUAAGUAACAACGAUGUUUCUAAAGCCAUAGUUAAGAUCCCUGGAGGAUUCCUGAAGUGAGAACACACACACAGAAACAAACACAAAUGCAAGUCACGGUGUGUGGACUUAGAGAAGCCAACAGUUCAACUGUCCAGUGGGGUUCUAAUGUGGACUCUUAACCACACACGGAAUCUCAUAAGUUCAGCACCAAGAAUUUUACUAGUAUAGAAGUCUUCAAUAAUCCUAUUGCUUCUUAAUAACAGUAAAUUACCUCCACACAGAGCAGAUUCUGCUUCAGGCAGUUAUUUGGGAAAACCCUUCAUAAAGGACAUUGGGGAGGAGGUAUUUGACUGUAAAAUGCAAUGCAGUUAACUUAAAGGAGAUAAUGAAGCAACUGACUGUGUAACUACUUGAUUUACUGUGUAACUACUUGAUAGAAUUCUUUCUAUUCAAAUUACAAGUUCAGGUUAUAUGAUGUGUAUGUAUCACAACAGAUGUACUAGUUAUCAGUUUUUCCAUUUGAAAAUUGGUAACUAUGAACUACAAUUAUUUACAUUAAUAAGCUACUUCAUGGUAAUUUGGUGUCAGGAGUACCUACAUCUUUACAAUUCUGAAUAAGUGUCUCAUUAAGGGAAGGAAUCCUCAGAUUUGACACCCCCCCUCCCCCGCAUAGGACUGUCUGGAUCAGGAUCACCCAGCAACCCCCACCCAUUCCCAUGCAUAAUGAAAAUAUUUUUUUCUCCUGUAUUUAUAAUUGCAUGGAUGGGAUUCUGGUUUCAACUCUCCUGUAGCAUCUUUUCCCCAAAGAUACCUUGUUUUUCUCCUCACACAAGAGACCCUUAAUAAACAAUGUCAGGGGAAAAUAAAGAAGGCAUAGGGUAGACACCAAAGGCUUUGCCAAAAGUGACAUUUUUUUGUUUCUUAAAGAGGGUCACCAAAUAUAUAAAACAGUCAAUACUACAACAGGUAAAUGUCAGUUUUAGAACAAUUUUGUGGGGGAAAAAAUUGCAUCUUAGUUAAAUCCAGGUUUUGCCACUGAAGAAAAACCAUGCAUGUAACCCCAGGAAGCACUUUUUGCUUAAAAGUUAAAGAUUAAAAACUAAUCAUGCUUUCUGAUUUGGAUAGCUUAUUACUAUGAAAGAUCUUUUAAAAUAUUCUUCACAUAUACAGCAUAGAUUUCACCUUUUAACUCCCACGUGUGGUCUACAGAAGAAAACCAGAGAAAUGGUUUCUUCUUUACCUAUUGAGUAAGGUGAACCACUGUAUUGUAUGGCUUAAAUCUGGGUUCCUUAAAAGAAAGAUAUCACAUUUCUACAACAUGACAUACGAGUACAAAAAUUUAAAGUACAGGAUCAUAGAAAUAUGCUCCAGAGAUAUGUAAAAGGGAGGAAAUAACUUCUAUUAUGCAAAUACCUGUUCCAUGUAGGUAACCUGCAUCUUUGGAAUGUUUAUUUUAGUUGCCUUUAAGAAUUAGGUAGGCUGAUGAGGUUUUAUUAAAGACAAUUUAAAUUUUAUAUCAUAUACUUGAAAAAUUCACAUAGUAGAAAAAGGCAAUGAGGAAUAAAACUAAACUUCAGUGCA
This is a non-coding RNA of Ictidomys tridecemlineatus (thirteen-lined ground squirrel), 2650 nucleotides long. NCBI's taxonomy places the organism in Eukaryota, Metazoa, Chordata, Mammalia, Rodentia, Sciuridae. The record is from RefSeq and is a predicted model, not a curated record.